UACAGAGGGGGCAAGCGUUGUUCGGAAUUACUGGGCGUAAAGCGUGCGCAGGCGGUGAUGUAAGACCGAUGUGAAAUCCCCGGGCUUAACCUGGGAACUGCAUUGGUGACUGCAUUGCUCGAGUAUGGCAGAGGGGGGUGGAAUUCCACGUGUAGCAGUGAAAUGCGUAGAGAUGUGGAGGAACACCGAUGGCGAAGGCAGCCCCCUGGGCCAAUACUGACGCUCAUGCACGAAAGCGUGGGGAGCAAACAGG
This 253-nucleotide ribosomal RNA is filed under the name uncultured bacterium. RNAcentral's name for it is "partial 16S ribosomal RNA". It matches the Rfam family "Bacterial small subunit ribosomal RNA", at positions 524 to 776 of the family's 1533-position model. The record is from RNAcentral.